AUUGAACGCUGGCGGCAGGCCUAACACAUGCAAGUCGAACGGUAACAGGAAACAGCUUGCUGUUUCGCUGACGAGUGGCGGACGGGUGAGUAAUGUCUGGGAAACUGCCAGAUGGAGGGGGAUAACUACUGGAAACGGUAGCUAAUACCGCAUAACGUCGCAAGACCAAAGAGGGGGACCUUCGGGCCUCUUGCCAUCGGAUGUGCCCAGAUGGGAUUAGCUAGUAGGUGGGGUAACGGCUCACCUAGGCGACGAUCCCUAGCUGGUCUGAGAGGAUGACCAGCCACACUGGAACUGAGACACGGUCCAGACUCCUACGGGAGGCAGCAGUGGGGAAUAUUGCACAAUGGGCGCAAGCCUGAUGCAGCCAUGCCGCGUGUAUGAAGAAGGCCUUCGGGUUGUAAAGUACUUUCAGCGGGGAGGAAGGGAGUAAAGUUAAUACCUUUGCUCAUUGACGUUACCCGCAGAAGAAGCACCGGCUAACUCCGUG
Molecule: ribosomal RNA, 490 nt
Filed under: uncultured bacterium
Lineage: Bacteria
Description: partial 16S ribosomal RNA
Rfam family: Bacterial small subunit ribosomal RNA
Source: RNAcentral